UCCGUAGGGGGCAAGCGUUGUCCGGAAUCAUUGGGCGUAAAGAGCGUGUAGGCGGUCCGGUAAGUCGGCUGUGAAAGUCCAGGGCUCAACCCUGGGAUGCCGGUCGAUACUGCCGGACUAGAGUUCGGAAGAGGCGAGUGGAAUUCCCGGUGUAGCGGUGAAAUGCGCAGAUAUCGGGAGGAACACCUAUGGCGAAGGCAGCUCGCUGGGACGUUACUGACGCUGAGACGCGAAAGCGUGGGGAGCAAACAGG
Molecule: ribosomal RNA, 253 nt
Filed under: uncultured bacterium
Lineage: Bacteria
Description: partial 16S ribosomal RNA
Rfam family: Bacterial small subunit ribosomal RNA
Source: RNAcentral